This 253-nucleotide ribosomal RNA is filed under the name uncultured bacterium. Its description in RNAcentral is "partial 16S ribosomal RNA". It matches the Rfam family "Bacterial small subunit ribosomal RNA", at positions 524 to 776 of the family's 1533-position model. The record is from RNAcentral.
UACGUAGGGGGCUAGCGUUGUCCGGAAUCAUUGGGCGUAAAGAGCGCGUAGGCUGCCAGAUAAGUCCGGUGUGAAAGUCGGAGGCUCAACCUUCGAAAGCCGGUGGAUACUGCGUGACUAGAGUACGGAAGAGGAGAGUGGAAUUCCUGGUGUAGCGGUGAAAUGCGCAGAUAUCAGGAGGAACACCAACGGCGAAGGCAGCUCUCUGGGACGUUACUGACGCUGAGACGCGAAAGCGUGGGGAGCAAACAGG